RNAcentral lists this ribosomal RNA (1427 nucleotides) under uncultured organism. Its description in RNAcentral is "16S ribosomal RNA". It matches the Rfam family "Bacterial small subunit ribosomal RNA". The record is from RNAcentral.
CAGGCUUAACACAUGCAAGUCGAGGGGCAUCAGGAAGAAAGCUUGCUUUCUUUGCUGGCGACCGGCGCACGGGUGAGUAACACGUAUCCAACCUGCCCUUACUCGGGGAUAGCCUUUCGAAAGAAAGAUUAAUACCCGAUAGCAUAAUGAUUCCGCAUGGUUUCAUUAUUAAAGGAUUCCGGUAAAGGAUGGGGAUGCGUUCCAUUAGGUUGUUGGUGAGGUAACGGCUCACCAAGCCUUCGAUGGAUAGGGGUUCUGAGAGGAAGGUCCCCCACAUUGGAACUGAGACACGGUCCAAACUCCUACGGGAGGCAGCAGUGAGGAAUAUUGGUCAAUGGGCGCUAGCCUGAACCAGCCAAGUAGCGUGAAGGAUGAAGGCUCUAUGGGUCGUAAACUUCUUUUAUAUAAGAAUAAAGUGCAGUAUGUAUACUGUUUUGUAUGUAUUAUAUGAAUAAGGAUCGGCUAACUCCGUGCCAGCAGCCGCGGUAAUACGGAGGAUCCGAGCGUUAUCCGGAUUUAUUGGGUUUAAAGGGAGCGUAGGUGGACUGGUAAGUCAGUUGUGAAAGUUUGCGGCUCAACCGUAAAAUUGCAGUUGAUACUGUCAGUCUUGAGUACAGUAGAGGUGGGCGGAAUUCGUGGUGUAGCGGUGAAAUGCUUAGAUAUCACGAAGAACUCCGAUUGCGAAGGCAGCUCACUGGACUGCAACUGACACUGAUGCUCGAAAGUGUGGGUAUCAAACAGGAUUAGAUACCCUGGUAGUCCACACAGUAAACGAUGAAUACUCGCUGUUUGCGAUAUACAGUAAGCGGCCAAGCGAAAGCAUUAAGUAUUCCACCUGGGGAGUACGCCGGCAACGGUGAAACUCAAAGGAAUUGACGGGGGCCCGCACAAGCGGAGGAACAUGUGGUUUAAUUCGAUGAUACGCGAGGAACCUUACCCGGGCUUAAAUUGCAGUGGAAUGAUGUGGAAACAUGUCAGUGAGCAAUCACCGCUGUGAAGGUGCUGCAUGGUUGUCGUCAGCUCGUGCCGUGAGGUGUCGGCUUAAGUGCCAUAACGAGCGCAACCCUUAUCUUUAGUUACUAACAGGUUAUGCUGAGGACUCUGGAGAGACUGCCGUCGUAAGAUGUGAGGAAGGUGGGGAUGACGUCAAAUCAGCACGGCCCUUACGUCCGGGGCUACACACGUGUUACAAUGGGGGGUACAGAAGGCAGCUAGCGGGUGACCGUAUGCUAAUCCCAAAAGCCUCUCUCAGUUCGGAUCGAAGUCUGCAACCCGACUUCGUGAAGCUGGAUUCGCUAGUAAUCGCGCAUCAGCCACGGCGCGGUGAAUACGUUCCCGGGCCUUGUACACACCGCCCGUCAAGCCAUGGGAGCCGGGGGUACCUGAAGUACGUAACCGAAAGGAUCGUCCUAGGGUAAAACUGGUGA